Molecule: ribosomal RNA, 320 nt
Filed under: uncultured eukaryote
Lineage: Eukaryota
Description: partial 18S ribosomal RNA
Rfam family: Eukaryotic small subunit ribosomal RNA
Source: RNAcentral
CCCUUAGAUGUUCUGGGCCGCACGCGCGCUACACUGAACAGUUCAACAAGUCUUAACCUUGGCCGAUAGGUCUGGGUAAUCUUUGAACGCUGUUCGUGAUUGGGAUAGACCUUUGCAAUUAUGGGUCUUCAACGAGGAAUUCCUAGUAAACGCAAGUCAUCAGCUUGCAUUGAUUACGUCCCUGCCCUUUGUACACACCGCCCGUCGCACCUACCGAUUGAAUGGUCCGGUGAAAUCUCGGGACGGCGGCUUGGUCGCUUGCGUCCGACUGCUGAAACUUGAUUAAACCAUAUCAUUUAGAGGAAGGUGAANUCGUAACA